ACGAACGCUGGCGGCGUGCUUAACACCUGCAAGUCGAACGGAAAGGCCCCUUUGGGGGUACUCGAGUGGCGAACGGGUGAGUAACACGUGAGUAAACUGCCCUUGACUUCGGGAUAACUUCAGGAAACUGGGGCUAAUACCGGAUAGGAAUCCUUGCUGCCUGGUGGGGGGUGGAAAGCUUCGGCGGUUUUGGAUGGACUCGCGGCUUAUCAGCUUGUUGGUGGGGUAGUGGCUUACCAAGGCUUUGACGGGUAGCCGGCCUGAGAGGGCGACCGGCCACAUUGGGACUGAGAUACGGCCCAGACUCCUACGGGAGGCAGCAGUGGGGAAUAUUGCACAAUGGGCGGAAGCCUGAUGCAGCAACGCCGCGUGCGGGAUGACGGCCUUCGGGUUGUAAACCGCUUUCAGCAGGGGCGAAGCUUGUGGUGACGGUACCUGCAGAAGAAGCACCGGCUAACUACGUG
This 464-nucleotide ribosomal RNA is filed under the name uncultured bacterium. Its description in RNAcentral is "partial 16S ribosomal RNA". It matches the Rfam family "Bacterial small subunit ribosomal RNA", at positions 29 to 507 of the family's 1533-position model. The record is from RNAcentral.